CAGGGAUUGCCCUAGUAACGGCGAGUGAAGCGGCAACAGCUCAAAUUUGAAAACUAGGCCUCGGCCCGAGUUGUAAUUUGCAGAGGAUGCUUCUGGCGCGGUGCCUUCCGAGUUCCCUGGAACGGGACGCCACAGAGGGUGAGAGCCCCGUAUGGUCGGACACCAAGCCUGUGUGAAGCUCCUUCGACGAGUCGAGUAGUUUGGGAAUGCUGCUCUAAAUGGGAGGUAAAUCUCUUCUAAAGCUAAAUACCGGCCAGAGACCGAUAGCGCACAAGUAGAGUGAUCGAAAGAUGAAAAGCACCUUGAAAAGGGGGUUAAAUAGUACGUGAAAUUGUUGAAAGGGAAGCACUUAUGACCAGACUUGGGCCGGGCGGCUCAUCAGGGGUUCUCCCCUGUGCACUCCGCCCGGCACAGGCCAGCAUCGGUUCUCGUGGGGGGAUAAGACCGUCAGGAACGUAGCACCCUCCGGGGUGUGUUAUAGCCUGGCGGACGAUACCCCCGUGGGGACCGAGGUCCGCGCUCCGCAAGGAUGCUGGCGUAAUGGUCAUCAGUGACCCGUCUUGAAACACGGACCAAGGAGUCGUCCAUUAGAGCGAGCGUUUGGGUGUAAAACCCGCACGCGUAAUGAAAGUGAACGCAGGUGAGAGCUUCGGCGCAUCAUCGACCGAUCCUGAUGUUCUCGGAAGGAUUUGAGUAAGAGUUUUAACGGACGGACCCGAAAGACAGUGAACUAUGCUUGUAUAGGGUGAAGCCAGAGGAAACUCUGGUGGAGGCNNNNNNNNNUUCUGACGUGCAAAUCGAUCGUCAAAUAUGAGCAUGGGGGCGAAAGACUAAU
This 835-nucleotide ribosomal RNA is filed under the name Diaporthe sp. RNAcentral describes it as "partial large subunit ribosomal RNA". It matches the Rfam family "Eukaryotic large subunit ribosomal RNA", at positions 69 to 935 of the family's 3401-position model. The record is from RNAcentral. Lineage: Eukaryota; Fungi; Ascomycota; Sordariomycetes; Diaporthales; Diaporthaceae.